Molecule: ribosomal RNA, 471 nt
Filed under: Actinomycetales bacterium 'ARUP UnID 375'
Lineage: Bacteria; Bacillati; Actinomycetota; Actinomycetes; Actinomycetales
Description: bacterial SSU rRNA
Rfam family: Bacterial small subunit ribosomal RNA
Source: RNAcentral
GGACGAACGCUGGCGGCGUGCUUAACACAUGCAAGUCGAACGAUGAAGCUGGGUGCUUGCACCUGGUGGAUUAGUGGCGAACGGGUGAGUAACACGUGAGUAACCUGCCCUCUACUCUGGGAUAAGCGCUGGAAACGGUGUCUAAUACUGGAUACGACCUUGAACCGCAUGGUUUCUUGGUGGAAAGUUUUUUCGGUAGGGGAUGGACUCGCGGCCUAUCAGCUUGAUGGUGAGGUAAUGGCUCACCAUGGCGACGACGGGUAGCCGGCCUGAGAGGGUGACCGGCCACACUGGGACUGAGACACGGCCCAGACUCCUACGGGAGGCAGCAGUGGGGAAUAUUGCACAAUGGGCGAAAGCCUGAUGCAGCAACGCCGCGUGAGGGAUGACGGCCUUCGGGUUGUAAACCUCUUUUAGUAGGGAAGAAGCUUUUGUGACGGUACCUACAGAAAAAGCACCGGCUAACUACGU